This 1332-nucleotide ribosomal RNA is filed under the name metagenome. RNAcentral's name for it is "bacterial LSU rRNA". It matches the Rfam family "Bacterial large subunit ribosomal RNA", at positions 1556 to 2925 of the family's 2925-position model. The record is from RNAcentral.
CCCAGUACUGCAAAGCUUCGGCAGCGCAGAUAGUGGUCCUAAUCAUACCUCCGAGAAAAACCUCUAAGGCUAGGCUAAAGCGGCCCGUACCGCAAACCGACACAGGUAGUCGAGGAGAAUAUCCUAAGGUGCUCGGGUGAGCCGCGGAGAAGGAACUAGGCAAAUUGUGGCUGUAACUUCGGGAUAAAGCCAACUACUCUCUGAGUAGUCUCAGUAAAAUGAUUCAACCAACUGUUUAACAAAAACACAGGGCCCUGCAAAAUCGAAAGAUGACGUAUAGAGCCUGAUACCUGCCCGGUGCUGGAAGGUUAAGGAAGGAUGUUCGGCGCAAGCCAAAGCUUCUGACUGAAGCCCCAGUAAACGGCGGCCGUAACAAUAACGGUCCUAAGGUAGCGAAAUUCCUUGUCGGGUAAGUUCCGACCUGCACGAAUGGUCUAAUGAGUUGAAUACUGUCUCCUCCGCGAGCCCGGCGAAAUUGUAGUAUCGGUGAAGAUGCCGGUUACCCGUCACGGGACGGAAAGACCCCGUGAACCUUCACUACAACUUUGCAUUGAUUUUGAGCAAACGAUGUGUAGAAUAGUUGGGACGCUACGAAGCGGUGCCGCCAGGUGCCGUGGAGCGGUCGUUGAAAUACCAACCUUCGUUUGCUUAGAGUCUAAUCCCUUGCGGGAAACAGUGCAUGGUGGGUAGUUUGACUGGGGUGGUCGCCUCCUAAAAAGUAACGGAGGCUUGCAAAGGUUCCCUCAGUACGGUUGGUAAUCGUACGAAGAGCGCAUUAGUAUAAGGGAGCUUGACUGUGAGACAGACAAGUCGAGCAGGGUCGAAAGACGGCUAAAGUGAUCCGGUGGUUCUGCAUGGAAGGGCCAUCGCUCAAAGGAUAAAAGGUACUCCGGGAUAACAGGCUGAUCUCCCCCAAGAGCUCAUAUCGACGGGGAGGUUUGGCACCUCGAUGUCGGUUCGUCACAUCCUGGGGCUGGAGAAGGUCCCAAGGGUUCGGCUGUUCGCCGAUUAAAGUGGCACGUGAACUGGGUUCAGAACGUCGCAAGACAGUUCGGUCCCUAUCUGUGAUGGGCGUUAGAAAAUUGAGUGGACAUGACCUUAGUACGAGAGGACCGGGUCGUACGUACCGCUGGUGUAUCUGUUGUGCCGCCAGGUGCAAUGCAGAGUAGCUAUGUACGGACAGGAUAAACGCUGAAAGCAUCUAAGCGUGAAACCUACCACAAGAUGAGUUUUCUUUUAAGGGUCGUAGCAGACUACUACGUUGAUAGGCUACAGAUGUAAAGGUGGUAACAUCAAAGUCGAGUAGUACUAAUUGCCCGUACGCUUUAAUUA